GACGAACGCUGGCGGCGUGCCUAAUACAUGCAAGUGGGACGCAAGGAAACACACUGUGCUUGCACACCGUGUUUACUUGAGUCGCGAACGGGUGAGUAACGCGUAGGUAACCUGCCUUUUAGCGGGGGAUAACUAUUGGAAACGAUAGCUAAUACCGCAUAAUAUUAAUUAUUGCAUGAUAAUUGAUUGAAAGAUGCAAGCGCAUCACUAGUAGAUGGACCUGCGUUGUAUUAGCUAGUUGGUAAGGUAAGAGCUUACCAAGGCGACGAUACAUAGCCGACCUGAGAGGGUGAUCGGCCACACUGGGACGGAGACACGGCCCAGACUCCUACGAGAGGCAGCAGUAGGGAAUCGUCGGCAAUAGACGAAAGUCUGACCGAGCAACGCCGCGUGAGUGAAGAAGGUUCUCGGAUCGUAAAGCUCUGUUGUAAGUCAAGAACGGGUGUGAGAGUGGAAAGUUCACACAGUGACGGUAGCUGAUCAGAAAGGGACGGCUAACUACGUG
RNAcentral lists this ribosomal RNA (505 nucleotides) under uncultured bacterium. Its description in RNAcentral is "partial 16S ribosomal RNA". It matches the Rfam family "Bacterial small subunit ribosomal RNA", at positions 28 to 507 of the family's 1533-position model. The record is from RNAcentral.